UGGCGGCAGGCCUAAACAUGCAAGUCGAGCGGCAGCGGGAAAGUAGCUUGCUACUUUUGCCGGCGAGCGGCGGACGGGUGAGUAAUGCCUGGGGAUCUGCCCAGUCGAGGGGGAUAACUACUGGAAACGGUAGCUAAUACCGCAUACGCCCUACGGGGGAAAGCAGGGGACCUUCGGGCCUUGCGCGAUUGGAUGAACCCAGGUGGGAUUAGCUAGUUGGUGAGGUAAUGGCUCACCAAGGCGACGAUCCCUAGCUGGUCUGAGAGGAUGAUCAGCCACACUGGAACUGAGACACGGUCCAGACUCCUACGGGAGGCAGCAGUGGGGAAUAUUGCACAAUGGGGGAAACCCUGAUGCAGCCAUGCCGCGUGUGUGAAGAAGGCCUUCGGGUUGUAAAGCACUUUCAGCGAGGAGGAAAGGUUGGUAGCUAAUAACUGCCAGCUGUGACGUUACUCGCAGAAGAAGCACCGGCUAACUCCGUGCCAGCAG
Molecule: ribosomal RNA, 489 nt
Filed under: Aeromonas veronii
Lineage: Bacteria; Pseudomonadati; Pseudomonadota; Gammaproteobacteria; Aeromonadales; Aeromonadaceae
Description: bacterial SSU rRNA
Rfam family: Bacterial small subunit ribosomal RNA
Source: RNAcentral